Molecule: non-coding RNA, 188 nt
Organism: Caenorhabditis elegans
Lineage: Eukaryota; Metazoa; Nematoda; Chromadorea; Rhabditida; Rhabditidae
Source: Ensembl
UCUGAUUUAGAAGAUCACAAGUUCGUAAAACUUGUAGCGAUAUCUUGUUUGAUUUAUCAGAACAAGGACUCAUCAAUCAUAUGUUUAUUUAAAGAUAUCGAAAAAAAGAUAGAUAAGGAAGAAGUAUUGAUAAAAAAUUGGAAACGGGGAAGCCGUUGACUUUUUUACGUGAUUAUUAAGAACGGAUU